This 431-nucleotide ribosomal RNA is filed under the name uncultured bacterium. RNAcentral's name for it is "partial 16S ribosomal RNA". It matches the Rfam family "Bacterial small subunit ribosomal RNA", at positions 29 to 507 of the family's 1533-position model. The record is from RNAcentral.
AACGAACGCUGGCGGCAGGCCUAACACAUGCAAGUCGAGCGCCCCGCUCGGGGAGCGGCGGACGGGUGAGUAACGCGUGGGGAUAUGCCCCUUGCUACGGGAUAGACUCCGGAAACUCGGGGUAUUACCGUAUACGCCCUUUGGGGGAAAGAUUUUUGUGCCAAGUAUUAGCCCGCGUUGGAUUAGGUAGUUGGUGGGGUAAUGGCCUACCAAGCCGACGAUCCAUAGCUGGUUUGAGAGGAUGAUCAGCCACACUGGGACUGAGACACGGCCCAAACUCCUACGGGAGGCAGCAGUGGGGAAUCUUAGACAAUGGGGGCAACCCUGAUGUAGCCAUGCCGCGUGAAUGAUGAAGGCCUUAGGAUUGUAAAACUCUUUCAGCUGGGAAGAUAAUGACGGUACCAGCAGAAGAAGCCCCGGCUAACUCCGUG